This 1003-nucleotide long non-coding RNA is filed under the name Salmo salar (Atlantic salmon). RNAcentral describes it as "lncRNA (ENSSSAG00000092596.1)". Lineage: Eukaryota; Metazoa; Chordata; Actinopteri; Salmoniformes; Salmonidae. The record is from RNAcentral.
CCUUUGGGAAUCUGUUCAAUUGGCUUGUGUAUUAGAAGUCACUGGGGUAUGUGGUGGGAGGGGCAGCAUAUACUCAGUCAUGGUACUCAUUUCAGUGCUGGGGUGGAAAUGUUGUUUUUCUCAGGCUUAGGGGUGACUGUAGUAUCUACAACAGAGAUUAUCAAGUGUCAGGUUUCAUUGAUCAAGGCCGAUGUUAUGUUUAUUUUUUAUGUUUAUGCUCCUAAUGAGGGUACAGAGCAUAUUGCUGUAUUUGAUCAAAUAAAGGAAAUCUUAAGACAGUGGGACCAAGAGGGGUGUAUGGUUUUAGAGGGGGACUGGAACUGUACAGUGGGUUUCACUGAUCGCACUGCUGAAGAACCUCACCUCAUCUAAUAACCGAGUUUCAGCUUUCUGAUGUGUGGAGAGUCAGGAAUGCAAAAGUUAGGCUGUACACAUGGCUAAAAGUUAAUGAAGGUGGUGUCAGUGCAGCAACGUUAGACAGGUUGUAUGUAUCUGAUCACUACUGUAGUAGGGUUGGAAGGUUAGACAGGUUGUAUGUAUCUGAUCACUACUGUAAUAGGGUUGGAAGGUUAGACAGGUUGUAUGUAUCUGAUCACUACUGUAAUAGGGUUGGAAGGUUAGACAGGUUGUAUGUAUCUGAUCACUACUGUAGUAGGGUUGGAAGGUUAGACAGGUUGUAUGUAUCUGAUCUCUACUGUACUAGGGUUGGAAGGUUAGACAGGUUGUAUGUAUCUGAUCACUACUGUAGUAGGGUUGGAAGGUUAGACAGGUGGUAUGUAUCUGAUCUCUACUGUAGUAGGGUUGGAAGGUUAGACAGGUUGUAUGUAUCUGAUCACUACUGUAGUAGGGUUGGAAGGUUAGACAGGUUGUAUGUAUCUGAUCUCUACUGUAGUAGGGUUGGAAGGUUAGACAGGUUGUAUGUAUCUGAUCACUACUGUAAUAGGGUUGGAAGGUUAGACAGGUUGUAUGUAUCUGAUCACUACUGUAGUAGGGUUGGAAGGUU